This 72-nucleotide transfer RNA is filed under the name Saccharimonadales bacterium (SeqCode). Its description in RNAcentral is "tRNA-Pro". It matches the Rfam family "tRNA". Rfam says of the family: Transfer RNA (tRNA) molecules are approximately 80 nucleotides in length. Lineage: Bacteria; Candidatus Saccharimonadota; Candidatus Saccharimonadia; Saccharimonadales (SeqCode). RNAcentral also lists the same sequence under 1 other name. The record is from RNAcentral.
CGGAGUGUAGUGAAUCGGUAUCACGCUUCGUUCGGGACGAAGAGACACCGGGUUCAAUUCCCGGCACUCCGA